CUAUGGUUUAUUGGAUCGUACCCGUUAAAUGGAUAACUGUAAUAACUCUAGAGCUAAUACAUGCCUCGAUGCCCUGACUCGGCCUGUUUGUUGUUGCGCAUGCUGCUGCUGCUGCUGCUGCUGCAGCGGCGUCGGCGCUGCGUCCUCAGGCAGGUGGGGGAUGGGUGCACUUAUUAGAUCAGAAGCCAACCAAUUGCACGUGUGUGUAUGUGUGCGGUCGCGAGGCCGUGUGCGGGCGCGUGCAUUGAGACGAGACUUCUGGUGACUCUGGAUAAUUGUUACAGAUCGCAGUCGGCCUUGAGUCGGCGACGGGUCCUUCAAAUGUCUGCCCUAUCAACUGUCGAUGGUAGGUGAUCUGCCUACCAUGGUGAUAACGGGUAACGGGGAAUCAGGGUUCGAUUCCGGAGAGGGAGCCUGAGAAAUGGCUACCACUUCCAAGGGAGGCAGCAGGCGCGCAACUUACCCACUCCCAGCACGGGGAGGUGGUGACGAAAAAUACCGAUGCGGGACUCCUUCAAGAGGCUCCGUAAUCGGAAUGAGUGGACUCUAAAUCCUUUCACGAGGAUCAAUUGGAGGGCAAGUCUGGUGCCAGCAGCCGCGGUAACUCCAGCUCCAAUAGCGUAUAUUAAAGUUGCUGCAGUUAAAAAGCUCGUAGUUGGAUCUCGGUGGCGUUGUUGCCUGUUGGUAAUUGAGCGGUCGGUGUGUGGCUAACGGCGUGUCACUCUAGCCGCCUCUGCGUGUGUGUGUGUGGGCCGUGGUGGGUGGAUUGGUGGAUUGGUGAGUGUGGGUGAUGAGGGCUGCUGGGUGGAUGGAUGGAUGGAUGGAUGGAUGGAUGGAGGGAGGGAUGGGCGGCCAGCUUCUUCUUCGGCGGCUCUGUGGUCGGCGGGGAGAGGGUGGGGUCUGCUCCCUUCUCUCCUCCUCCUCCUCCUCCUUCUUCUUCUUCGCCUGGUGGCAGUCUGCUGCCCGACCACUGACUACUCCACUGGUUGGCUCAUGCGCUCGCCGACAUGCGGUGGGUGGUGUGCGCAGUGGUGGCGUCGUCGUGGCCAUGAAUAAGCACUGUCGUGUCAAGCUGGCAAGGCGAUGGUGUCACCUUUAAGCCAUGUCUGCAGUGUGACGGCUGCAGGUGUGGACGGGUGGUGGGCGGUGCUCUGCACACGUUGUGGGGCCUGUCGGCUCGUCUGCAUGCCUUUGGAUGCCCUUCAAAAGGUGUCUGCGGGCGGAUGGCACGUUUACUUUGAACAAAUUUGAGUGCUCAAGUCAGGCCGAUGUUGCCUGAAAAGUUUUGCAUGGAAUAAUGGAAUAGGACUUCGGUUCUAUUUCGUUGGUUUUCGGAUCCGAAGUAAUGAUCAAAAGAGACAGGCGGGGACGUUUGUAUGGCUGCGCUAGAGGUGAAAUUCAUGGACCGUAGCCAGACAAACUAAAGCGAAAGCAUUCGUCAAGCAUGUUUUCAUUGGCCAUGAGCGAAAGUCAGAGGCUCGAAGACGAUCAGAUACCGUCCUAGUUCUGACCAUAAACGAUGCCAACUGACGAUCCGUGGUGGUAGUUGUGUUACCUUCCCCACGGGCAGUCCCCGGGAAACCUUUAAGUGUUUGGGUUCCGGGGGAAGUAUGGUUGCAAAGCUGAAACUUAAAGGAAUUGACGGAAGGGCACCACCAGGAGUGGAGCCUGCGGCUUAAUUUGACUCAACACGGGAAAACUCACCCGGGCCGGACACUAUGAGGAUUGACAGAUUGAGAGCUCUUUCUUGAUUUGGUGGUUGGUGGUGCAUGGCCGUUCUUAGUUGGUGGAGCGAUUUGUCUGGUUAAUUCCGAUAACGAACGAGACUCCAGCCUGCUAAUUAGUGCGUUUGUCCACUGCAUCUGUGAAGGUGGCGUUGGAUGAUACCACCUGCCACGGGUGGCUAGCUUCGGCGUCUCUGCUCUUGUGUUCUCCUCUCUCUCUCCCUCUCGCCCUCACUCUCUCCCUCCUUCCCUCUCUCUCUCUCUCUCUCUCUGUCUGCCUGCCUGCCUGCCUGUCCUCUUCUUCUCCUCCUCCUCAUCCUCCUGCGCCUCCUCAUUCGGGGUUGGCGUGGUUGUGAUGGGUGGUGGGUUGGGGUUGGUGGGUGGGUAGGUGGGUGGGUGGGUGGAUGGAUGGAUGGAUGGAUGGAUGGGUAGUGGGUGGUGGGUGGUAGGUGGUGGGUUGCUGUGGGAGUGAGUGGGGGCGUGUGAAGCAUUGGGGCUCGUGGCUGGUUAGUCUGGCGCUGGCCUCCGGGUGUGGCGCGAAUGCCUACUUCUUAGAGGGACAAGCGGGAGAAGCCGCACGAAAUAGAGCAAUAACAGGUCUGUGAUGCCCUUAGAUGUCCGGGGCCGCACGCGCGCUACAAUGACGGUGUCAACGAGUCAGACCUUCUGGCCCGAGAGGGUUGGGCAAACUGGUCAAUCACCGUCGUGACAGGGAUCGGGGCUUGGAAUUGUUCCCCGUGAACGAGGAAUUCCUAGUAAGUGCAAGUCAUAAGCUUGCGCUGAUUACGUCCCUGCCCUUUGUACACACCGCCCGUCGCUACUACCGAUUGAAUGGUUUAGUAAGGUCCUUGGAUUGGCGUCGUUGCGGCGGUGACCGAAAGGGCGCUGCCCGAGAGGCGCUGAGAAGACGACCAAACUUGAUCAUUUAGA
Molecule: ribosomal RNA, 2654 nt
Filed under: Hydatigera parva
Lineage: Eukaryota; Metazoa; Platyhelminthes; Cestoda; Cyclophyllidea; Taeniidae
Description: SSU rRNA
Rfam family: Eukaryotic small subunit ribosomal RNA (bases 271-2654)
Source: RNAcentral